This 421-nucleotide ribosomal RNA is filed under the name uncultured bacterium. Its description in RNAcentral is "bacterial SSU rRNA". It matches the Rfam family "Bacterial small subunit ribosomal RNA", at positions 355 to 775 of the family's 1533-position model. The record is from RNAcentral.
UGGGGAAUCUUGCGCAAUGGGCGGAAGCCUGACGCAGCAACGCCGCGUGAGGGAUGACGGCCUUCGGGUUGUAAACCUCUUUCGCGAUCGACGAAGGCCCACUUUCUGGUGGGUUGACGGUAGGUCGAGAAGAAGCACCGGCCAACUACGUGCCAGCAGCCGCGGUAAUACGUAGGGUGCGAGCGUUGUCCGGAAUUAUUGGGCGUAAAGAGCUCGUAGGCGGUGUGUCGCGUCGGCCGUGAAAACCUGGGGCUCAACUCUGGGCGUGCGGUCGAUACGGGCAUCACUUGAGUUCGGCAGGGGAGACUGGAAUUCCUGGUGUAGCGGUGAAAUGCGCAGAUAUCAGGAGGAACACCGGUGGCGAAGGCGGGUCUCUGGGCCGAUACUGACGCUGAGGAGCGAAAGCAUGGGGAGCAAACAG